Molecule: long non-coding RNA, 4129 nt
Organism: Rhododendron vialii
Lineage: Eukaryota; Viridiplantae; Streptophyta; Magnoliopsida; Ericales; Ericaceae
Exons: 3
Source: RefSeq, a predicted model, not a curated record
UCUCUCUCUCUCUCUCUCUCUCUCUCUCUCUCAAUUGAAUGGAAACAGAUCUGCUCUUGAACCCUAAACAACCAGUGAACCCCACAGGAGCAACGACCCGACACUGGUGAGGAAGACGAUGAUCAGUAUCCCCAGGGUUUUGGCAUCGGAGAAGGUGUGGCCGUAGACGUAGAGGCGACAAGGAGGGAGACGAGGGUGAGGAGAGAGAACGUGUGAGAGAGGAGCAAAAAGGCAAGGGCGAAACUAGGAGGCGUUCUUGCGGACGAUGGAGGAGGCGAUGGUGAGGGUGUCAGACCGGGAGAAGACGACGUGGUCGGCAAGCUCCGGCUAGGGGCGGCAAACGUGUGCAAGGCCGUGGCCAGAAAACCCCUUUUGGUUUAAUUUCAAAUCUGAAGAUGGUAAGAAAGUGGCAACUCAAGUUCUUUUUUCAAGAGAUGGAACAUGGGUUUUCUUGCACAUCGAGUAGAUAGCCCAACUGAAACUCGAAAGAAAUCAGGUGAUUUAUUUCUAGAAACCAAGCUAAAAACCAUGAUGGAAGAGGAACAAAUAGAAUUCGAGCCCAAUGAAGAGGAAUCGGUGAUAAAACUGGAAAAGGCUUUGGUUGAGUUAAACCCAACACUGCCACUGGUUAGUUUCAAAAGGUAAAAAAUUUCAACGAAAGUAUUGCAUUCAAUGAAGUUUGCGUAAAGUGUGGUUUGUUUGUUGGAUCCACAAUAGAUUAAGCCAUUUAAUUUAGUAUCUUCAUUUGGUCUCUUGCUUCAGGGUAUUUGGGUGCUUUUAGUUCUUUCCAAUUGAGUGAGUUCUGUAGCCCUUGAGGCGAUUAUCCGGAUCAAAAAAAAUUUGAGUGAGUUCGGUAUGAUCAAAAAAAUUUUAGUGAGGUCUAUAUGUGUAAUCAGGGAAAAAAUGCUUCGAGCAGCGCGACGCGCCCAAUUUCAGCGGUGCAGAGGUCAUGGUUAUGCCAUUUUUCGGUUAAUGUGUUCCAUGAUAUGGUUCUCUUUGAACUCUAUGAUAACACACUUGAGAUAAAUUUCAAUGAAAGUAUUGCAUUUAAUGAAGUAUCACUUAAGAUAAUGCCAGUGUUCUAAAACUCGGUAUUCCUCAUCGAGUACUCACUCCAAGGUGCCUGGCCGAGGGGACUAAUCCCCUUCUCGGUGGGCAUUACUCAUCGAGUACUCACCGACUAAUGCCGAGUACUCACUCUAAGGUACCUAGCCGAGCGAGUACUGAAUAGCGAGUUUUAGAACACUGGAUAAUGCACAUGAAUUUAAAAUUCAAACAUCUCACUGCCUCCCAAACCUUUUUUAUUUUUUCUUUCCAGGAAUGAAGCUAUGACUGAGCUAUGAUGUGAAAUUACUAGAGGUAAUUUCUUUGAAAUUAUUUUCCUACAUAAUAAGGGUUUGUUUAUCUUACAGUUUAUUUCUGACCCUAUGUGACUAUAGUUUGCAGGAAUGAAUCUGUGUAUAUUUUGGUCAUUGAUAUAAAAAGAGGUAAAGAAGUUUGUGCUUCAUGAUCUUCACUGAUACAAACCAUGGAUGGUUUGUUUCUAAAACUUCCUUCAGACCCAACAUUCUUCCUUUUUGACAAAAAAAUGUCCACAAUAUCGCAUCGAUAACAUUACGUCGGUUGUUACGAUUAUUUCUGCAUUUAGUGAAAACUAAAAAAUGACGCCUUUUUUGUAGAUGAAAUGAUGCCAGCAUGACAUUUUGGACACUUUCCUAAAAAAUUAAUAAUUUGGACUUCAGAGUAUGUUUCAUCGGGUGCCACUUCUCUGAUUGGGGUAUCUAUUUGUCUCUCUUCUUGGCUAGCAGGGAUGCCGUACAUCUUUCGGGACUGCUUUGUGGUUGGGCUGCCAUUUAGUUGUUUUUGCUGCUGCAUUUGUUGUUGUUGGUUGCAUCUGUUGUAGUGCCUUUGUUUUGCUGUCUGUUUUCCAUUGUUACUGGGUGGCUGAGGCAUAGACUUUGGUGCAAAACCACAUCAACUGGAGUUACUGAAGGGAGUUCCAAUCACUAGUACAAUGUCACUUGCAUCUAUUUUUAACAUACACGUAAAUAGUAUAAUGAUGUGGCUGAUUUCUAGCUAGUAAAACAUCUCUUGCAUCUAUUUUUACUAUACACAUGAAUAGAUAUAAUGUUGUCACCAAUUUCUAGCUGGUGUGGAAUGCACAGUUUAAUAGAUCACGCCAGGCAAAACUAAAAAAAUUAUUUAUGCAAAAGGUUUAGUUGGUGGUGGUUUCAACUUGGAACCCUUGACUGUUAGAUCUUGGAAAAACGAAAAAAAUUGUCCAACAACAUCUAAUAUGCAAAAUGUAUAAAAAUAAGACCUAGAUUAACCCUCACAGUAGUCAUGUCAUGCCAUUGGGGUGCCCCGUAUUACAUUUGAUGCUUUUUCCUAUUCAUUUGUCCAUGGUCAUUGGUCAUUAUGAAUGGUACAUUAAGCUAAUUGAAAAGGCUGCAAUAGCAAGCUUAUGAGGUUUUGUUUGCACACUAAAUUUGAGUUUUAAUUGUUCGUCGUCUUUAUGAAUGGUUUGUUUAUUGGUUGUAUUGUCCAGGGACUGAGAUAUUGGAUAUAGUUUCAUGGAAAUGAUGGUCUUAAGGUUUAUUUACUUCUUUAAGGUUUGUUUAGGAAUAACUUCCGGUUAGAGCCAUUACUUGUUCUGUUCUCAAACUUGGUGUCUUUGGUUGAUAUACUUGUCAUUGAGUGACUUACAAUUUUCUUGCAUAAUGCGGUUUAACAUGAAAUUGACUACUUCAAAAUUAAUUGCUUGCUUUGGUGGAGUACAUUGGGUUAACAGUUACAUGACUGCGUGAGCAUGAAGGCUAAACUUCGGGGGGUUAGCCCUAAGACUUGGAUACAUCUAGGGACAAGGACUGACUCAAGUAGAAAUAGGGGGCUGAAAGCGGUGAAUUUGAUCAAAGAAAACCAACUUCGUAGCAAUUUGAUCAAGGAAUGCAAGAUCAUGAUGUAUUGUAGAAACAGGCUAACAACUCUAAAAACAACUCCAUGAGAGGGCAACAAAUUGACUAUGUCUUGGAAGAUAUAGGAAUUGAACGGAAAGAAAUGGUUUCCUUUGAAACCCCACAACUCUUUGUUCACAAGAAAAAUCUCCUUGCAACUGAUAGUGCAGGGGUUACAUUUGAGAGGACAUGUGGCCUUCUCUAUUUUGUUUUUGUUUUCUUCCUAUCUUUUAUGUUUUUGUUUUGGUCAUUUCCUCUUAUGGUCAUGUGUUGUAUGUUGCAUUGAUUUGGUUGUUGGCUUCAAUCAAAAUGGAAGAGAAAGUGAGCAGAUGCACAAUAUGAAUUCAUGUAGAAAUCCAAUCUGAUUGUAAUACAUUCCUAUCUUAAAUAGUAAAUACACUCUAAAUUUGUAAGUAGUGCUGUGAGCACGAAUAAUUGGUUUGUUUUUCAUGGUGAUAAAAUUAUGUUGGUAUGUGCCUUUGGGUACGAUUAGUUUGUUCACACAUAACUAAGGUCACUCGAAUAUGUUUGGGUUAUUAUUUUUUACAUAGUUGAAUUCAUUGGGUAGUGGAUGAUAUAUUGCACAUGAGUUCAAUGUUUAUUUGCGUGUGCCGAUCGUUCGACCCGUGCCUGCAGGCAUGGGCAUGCACUAGGGUAUGAAUAAGGGGAAGCUUUAAAAAAAGAAGAAGGUUAUUACAAGUACGGAGUAUCAUUUUAUUAUGUUCAAAAUCGAGGGCAUGACAAUUUGGGACAAACGUAAUGCUGAGGAGGAGACUGUAUAGCUGGAAACCUCAAAACCUAAUUCAGCCAUAGGAUUUAUGAGUGAAAAUUUUGGGUCGUUAGAUUCAUGUACAUAAGAUUCAAAAAAUGAGCUAGCUUAUUAUAUAGAAGAUAUUGUAGAUCAAUAUAGAUAAUAUGUUAAACUGAGAUAGUGUUGUACUGAUAGUAGUUUUUAGUGUUUUUUGGAAUAUACUUAGAGUAGAUAAAAUCAGAUGAUGUCAUCUUUUAUGUUUUUCUGAACAGACAAUCACAAAUAACUUUAUUUGUCCUCUAACUUUAAUUGUCCUCUUAUGUUGGGAGAUAUACAAACCAGAUUAAUACAGAUAUGGUUAUUUGAUAUGUUUUUCUUGGAGACACGGGGAACAGUUAAACAUAGACAAUUUGUUCUUUAAUGG